CCUACGGGUGGCAGCAGUGAGGAAUAUUGGUCAAUGGACGAGAGUCUGAACCAGCCAAGUAGCGUGAAGGAUGACUGCCCUAUGGGUUGUAAACUUCUUUUAUAAAGGAAUAAAACGCGGCACGUGUGCCUUUUUGCAUGUACUUUAUGAAUAAGGAUCGGCUAACUCCGUGCCAGCAGCCGCGGUAAUACGGAGGAUCCGAGCGUUAUCCGGAUUUAUUGGGUUUAAAGGGAGCGUAGAUGGGUUGUUAAGUCAGGUGUGAAAGUUUGCGGCUCAACCGUAAAAUUGCAAUUGAUACUGGCAGUCUUGAGUACAGUUGAGGUAGGCGGAAUUCGUGGUGUAGCGGUGAAAUGCUUAGAUAUCACGAAGAACCCCGAUUGCGAAGGCAGCUUACUAAACUGUGACUGACAUUGAUGCUCGAAAGUGUGGGGAUCAAACAGGAUUAGAUACCCGAGUAGUC
RNAcentral lists this ribosomal RNA (460 nucleotides) under uncultured bacterium. RNAcentral describes it as "partial 16S ribosomal RNA". It matches the Rfam family "Bacterial small subunit ribosomal RNA", at positions 338 to 795 of the family's 1533-position model. The record is from RNAcentral.